GAUGAACGCUGGCGGCGUGCCUAAUACAUGCAAGUCGAGCGAACGGACGAGAAGCUUGCUUCUCUGAUGUUAGCGGCGGACGGGUGAGUAACACGUGGAUAACCUACCUAUAAGACUGGGAUAACUUCGGGAAACCGGAGCUAAUACCGGAUAAUAUUUUGAACCGCAUGGUUCAAAAGUGAAAGACGGUCUUGCUGUCACUUAUAGAUGGAUCCGCGCUGCAUUAGCUAGUUGGUAAGGUAACGGCUUACCAAGGCAACGAUGCAUAGCCGACCUGAGAGGGUGAUCGGCCACACUGGAACUGAGACACGGUCCAGACUCCUACUGGAGGCAGCAGUAGGGAAUCUUCCGCAAUGGGCGAAAGCCUGACGGAGCAACGCCGCGUGAGUGAUGAAGGUCUUCGGAUCGUAAAACUCUGUUAUUAGGGAAGAACAUAUGUGUAAGUAACUGUGCACAUCUUGACGGUACCUAAUCAGAAAGCCACGGCUAACUACGUG
RNAcentral lists this ribosomal RNA (497 nucleotides) under uncultured bacterium. Its description in RNAcentral is "partial 16S ribosomal RNA". It matches the Rfam family "Bacterial small subunit ribosomal RNA", at positions 28 to 507 of the family's 1533-position model. The record is from RNAcentral.